AGCUCCAGUAGCGUAUAUUAAAGUUGUUGCAGUUAAAAAGCUCGUAGUUGGAUCUCGGGUCGCCGGCAGUGGUUCAGGUUCAUGCCUGUCUACUGCUGCCGGCACCUAACCGGCGGGACGCCGCGGGUGCCCUUAACUGGGUCGCCCGUUGCACCCGCUCAAUUUACUUUGAAAAAAUUAGAGUGUUCAAGGCAGGCUCACACGCCUGAAUGAUGGUGCAUGGAAUAAUGGAAUAGGAUCUCGGAUCUAUUUUGUUGGUUUUCGGAGCCCGAGAUAAUGAUUAAGAGGGACAGACGGGGGCAUUCGUAUUGCGGUGUUAGAGGUGAAAUUCUUGGAUCGCCGCAAGACGAACUACUGCGAAAGCAUUUGCCAAGAAUGUUUUCA
Molecule: ribosomal RNA, 384 nt
Filed under: uncultured eukaryote
Lineage: Eukaryota
Description: SSU rRNA
Rfam family: Eukaryotic small subunit ribosomal RNA
Source: RNAcentral